AUGUGAAUAAAUCUCUUGAGCAAGAAAGGGAGAGAGCCACGACCAAGUUUGCAUUGCUUUUGUCUAACGCAAGAGACUGAAGAUGCCUCAGGUGGAUAUGACUCCAAAAAAUCCUCCGAGCAUUAUUUUUGGUAUGACUCUGCAUUUAUUGAGUGGUCACAUGAGUCUGCCCCAACUAGUGACAGGAGCUUCUUCUUCCCCCAGAAUGUCAGCAACUCUGUUGUAAAGUUUAUCAUCUGUGCUUAUCGAGUAAACUUUGAUUAAUUUGAGAAUCUGAGACAGUAGAUGGAUACUAGUAGCUUAAGAACUCUUUUGGUCCUUUUUAUUUCGAUUUUUUAUCUUGAUAUUUGGAGAGAAUGAAGGAUGUGAAUAGAGAAGGUAAAGAAUUUACUUCCACUGUUUAAACGAAAAGAUGGUUUGCCUUCAAUUGAGAAUGUAAAUUAAAUUGCAGAAGAAUUGGAUCGGGCUAACCUUCUCUUGUGGAGAAUCAGGGCCUUCGUGCUAAUGAUGGAUGGUUAUUGAAUGAACUAGAGUUGCAG
This 539-nucleotide long non-coding RNA is filed under the name Eucalyptus grandis. Its description in RNAcentral is "long non-coding RNA (EGRA_LNC005238)". Lineage: Eukaryota; Viridiplantae; Streptophyta; Magnoliopsida; Myrtales; Myrtaceae. The record is from RNAcentral.